This is an RNA transcript of Rhea pennata, 2735 nucleotides long. It is a transcript of the gene named G protein-coupled receptor 68, with no coding region annotated. The record is from RefSeq and is a predicted model, not a curated record. NCBI's taxonomy places the organism in Eukaryota, Metazoa, Chordata, Aves, Rheiformes, Rheidae. The transcript is spliced from 5 exons.
CAGCAGCCUGAGCCGGCGCUGGGACAGCACAAGUUUUGCGCUGUUCGCACCGCAGGGGAAGCCUCGUUGUACAAACUCCUCGCAGGGAAGGUUACAGCAAUCUCCUGGACUGUUGAUACCUGUGACUGGGUCCCUUCAGCAGCAUUUCUCCUGUUGUACUUGAUUUAUCUGUAAUAACUGUUGUGCCAUCCACAAUGUGGAGAUGACUCUGUUUAUCCCCUUAAAUAACUACAUAAGAGCAGCAGAGCAGAGCUUGUACUGUGCUAGACUCAACCUUUCACACAAGUGGACUGGGACAACAAAGGUAGAAGAUUUGAGAGAGAUGAGCUUGUGUUAGCCUGCCAUUUUGUGACUGAAGCUAUCUGAGAUGCCCAAGGUGACCUCCAGCAAAAACAGGACCGAUGUUCUUGCUGUUGGUUAUUAACAUCCUUCAGCAAGCCAUCACCUCAAGAUAAAGGUUUUGUGGAAGAAAUAAAUGAUAUAUGAAACUGAAUGAAAUUAAGUUUUACACCUCUCCAUUUGGGACCCUGAUGAGUGACAGGUAGAAGAUGAAUUUCACAGAGAAUGCAACUGAGAAGUGCACUGUUGAUCACAAUAUCCACCAGACUUUAUCCCCUGUGGUAUACAUAUUUGUGUUUGUAUUAGGUUUCCCUGCAAAUUGCCUCUCACUGUACUACGGAUAUCUGCAGAUCAAGGCUAAAAAUGAAUUGGGUAUCUAUCUUUGCAACUUGACUGUAGCAGACCUGUUGUACAUUUUUUCUUUGCCUUUCUGGCUCCAGUAUGUUUUACAGCAUGACAACUGGACCUACGAUGUACUGCUGUGCAAAAUCUGUGGCACUCUUUUGUAUGAGAAUAUUUAUAUCAGUGUGGGCUUCCUCUGCUGCAUCUCCAUAGAUCGCUAUCUAGCAGUAGUGCACCCUUUUCGCUUUCACCAGUUUCGGACACUGAAGGCUGCUGCAAUUGUGAGUGCUGUUAUCUGGGCCAAAGAAAUCGUGACGUGCUGGUUUGUCUUUACACAUGGGGAGAUCAGUAUGGAUGCUGACAGCCAUGUGGUGUGCUUUGAGCAUUACCCCAUAAAAGACUGGGAGCAUAAUGUCAAUUACUACCGCUUCUCCGCUGGCUUCCUUUUCCCCUUCUUUCUGCUGGCCUUUUCUUACUGUGGAAUUUUACGAGUUGUCCACAAGAGUCAUGGCACUCAAAAGAAGAAGAAAAUUCAAAUUAAGAGACUGGUUUCAAGCACUGUUUUCAUUUUUUUAGUUUGCUUUGGACCAUACCACAUCCUACUUGUAGUUCGCAGCUUGUUUGAGAAUGACUGCUCAUUUGCUCAGAAAAUAUUUAAUAUUUACCAUGUUUCGCUCCUGUUGACUACCUUUAACUGUGUUGCUGAUCCAGUGUUGUACUGUUUUUCCAGUGAAAGCACUUACCAGAACUUUGCCAAGAUGCGAGACUCUUGUUUAACAUCUUUAGGAUGUCUUAGGACUGAGACUAAGGAAACCUACCAGCUGAAUGCUCCAGAAACCCUCAACAAGCCACAGGAUGAGCAACAGCCAGCAUUAUUACAAAGAUCAGAUGAUAUCACUGGAAUAAAAGACUCCUCUACAACUAACUUAGGCAGUCUAGAGUAGUCAUCAGAAAAGAAUACUCAUCCAAAAUCUCGACAUAUGACUGUGUUGUGUAUGCAUCUGAUUUAUCCAUGUAUUACAACUAUUUUACCUCUCAAAGACUUAUUAGCUAUGCAAUAUAGUGAGGUAGUUUCUAGAGGUACUUGGACCUUGACCACAGUGAGGAAAGUAUAAACUAAGAGUUCAGUUACAAUCACAUGUCUACUGCCAUUAUGGUGCAACUCAGAAACUGUUGUCUUGUCACUCAACUGUUGUUGAUGACUGCAUUGGCUGAAAUAAGCUAGUACUCAUGGUGUGGAUCUGCUGAAACUGUCAUUAACUGCUGUCUGUUUGUGCCUGUAGCAUCUAGAGAAAAAGAAUUCUCAAAAAGCUGUCAUUUCUUUUGAAAAAGUUGGAGACCGAACAAAUAAAAUGUCCCCAUAAGUAGUUUUAAAAGAAAACAAAAAAUCUUAUGUGCAUCUUUUCUGUAAGUCUGUAAAAUAAUUCUUCCUCAAGCCCAUUUCAAGUUCUGCACAGACCUUGUCAGAACCUGCCUCCUAAAACAACCAAUCAAAUAAUGUGAGAUGUUCUGGAAGAGCAUGCACAAGAAACUCACCACCUGCUGAGACCUUCAAUCCAUUAAUUGACAACUGAUCUCACAUUGCUGAACCUCAUCAUCAGGCUCCUAUUGACUUUAAAAGGUAUCAGAUUAUCAACAGGCUCUGAUGGGAAAAAUAAUUCAGUCUGUGGACUUCGAAAAGAACAGGAGGUAUUCAUUUUUGUGAAAUUUGCCAGAAUCUCAAAAGGUUGAAACCUCUCCCCUUCUAUCAAAUUUUGAACCUGCUGUUCAAUUUCAACCAAGCUGUUUGUAGGGGACACUGCCAACAAGACAGAAGAUCAACAGGAAUAAAGUUUCCAAAACCAAGCAGAACAACUAAAUAAAAAGGACUAACAUAGAUUGAACUGUGGCCCAAACUCUCAUCUAUAUGUGGAUGCACUGUGACUAGAAGCACUAAAGGGAAAAAUUGUGAGAGACCAGUGAUGAAGUGCAGGUGCGUAGCACAACCUGCAACUACGACAAUAACAUCCUUGAAUCUGUAAUCGAAUACAAACGAACGUUGCUGCUAUUGUGAG